AGGGAGCUAUGUGACAUUGGGAAUGGGCUCAGUGCCACAGCCCCGCUGCUCCUUCUGUGAAUGGAGACCCCUUCACCGGGAUAAUGUAUGAUGUCAGGAGUCCAGGUUCCCAGCUUGAUAACAUGAGUCAAACCAAACCUGCACCAGCGAGGAGACUAAAGUACACCCAGACCUUGCUCUUCUGACGCUCGAUGCUUGUCAGCAUCCAGUAAAUUCUUGUUUACAACGUCUCUUUCUGAUUUCCUCGGAGGAAGCAUCCCAUGGAAGUGGAGUGAAGUGAACCCUAAAGGAGGAGCAGCUGGAGACUGGCAAGUAAAUAAAUAAAUAAAAAUGAUAAGGAA
Molecule: long non-coding RNA, 341 nt
Organism: Podarcis raffonei (Aeolian wall lizard)
Lineage: Eukaryota; Metazoa; Chordata; Lepidosauria; Squamata; Lacertidae
Exons: 2
Source: RefSeq, a predicted model, not a curated record